Pelobates cultripes (western spadefoot toad) is the source of this 845-nucleotide non-coding RNA. The record is from the annotation of a GenBank genome assembly. NCBI's taxonomy places the organism in Eukaryota, Metazoa, Chordata, Amphibia, Anura, Pelobatidae.
CCUACACACACAGCAUCCCUCCCUCCCACACAGCAGCCCCCUAAACACAGCACUCCUGCACCCCACACAGCACUCCUACCCCCCACACACAGCCCCUCCCUCCACACAGCACCCCUCCCCCUGACACAUAUCACCCACACACACACAGCACUCCAACCCACACACAGCACUCCUCCCAACACACACAGCACCCCUCCCCAACACAGCACCCUUCCCCCCACACACACAGCACUCCCCCCAAACACACAUCACUCCUUCCCAAACACAGCACCCCUCCCCCCACACACAACACCACUCCCUCCCCCACACACAGCACCUCUACCCCACACACAGCACUCCUCCCCCACAUAGCACCUCUCCCACUCACACACAGCAACCCACCACACACAGCAACCCACCACACACAGCACUUUUCUCACACAGCAACCCUCACUCACAGCACUCCACACACUCCACAUCCUUACACACAAACACGUACACUUCACACCUCAAUGCAGUAUGUUUGUGUGUGUGUGUAUUCAGCAAUUACGUAGUUACAAGUUCAGCCUUUCUCACAUAUGUAUUUGCUGUUGAUUCAAAUAAGGUAAAAAAACAAGGGUCUGAAGCGCUUCCAAUUUUGCAACAAUCUAGGAAAAAAAUUCCUUCUUGACCCCAAAAAAGCAGUCAGAUGUCUCAUUGGAUCAAGCAGCUAUUACCUCACAAAUUAGAAAUUAUAUCCCUGUAUGUUAUGUUUUUGCAGGUAUUUAUCCAAUUGCAGUUUAAACAUCUGUAUGGACUCUGAUAAAACCACCUCUUCAGGCAGAGAAUUCCAUAUCAUUAUUGCUCUUAAUGUAAAAAAAAACUUU